Molecule: small nucleolar RNA, 143 nt
Organism: Acomys russatus (golden spiny mouse)
Lineage: Eukaryota; Metazoa; Chordata; Mammalia; Rodentia; Muridae
Product: small nucleolar RNA SNORA48
Exons: 1
Source: RefSeq, a predicted model, not a curated record
UGCCCUGCUGGCAAUGGGCAAAGAGACACUUUGUUGGUGAUAUUGUUCUAUCAGUCAGGGGCAGAACAGAUGCCAGGCCUUUGUUCAUUCUAGCUUGUUGCCUGGCUUGGUAGCUAAAACUGUCUUAUGUCCAGGACUCAUAA